UGGGAAUUUUGGACAAUGGGCGCAAGCCUGAUCCAGCCAUGCCGCGUGCGGGAAGAAGGCCUUCGGGUUGUAAACCGCUUUCGUCAGGGAAGAAAUCCUUUGAGCUAAUACCUCGGGGGGAUGACGGUACCUGAAGAAUAAGCACCGGCUAACUACGUGCCAGCAGCCGCGGUAAUACGUAGGGUGCAAGCGUUAAUCGGAAUUACUGGGCGUAAAGCGUGCGCAGGCGGUUAUGCAAGACAGAUGUGAAAUCCCCGGGCUCAACCUGGGAACUGCAUUUGUGACUGCAUAGCUGGAGUGCGGCAGAGGGGGAUGGAAUUCCGCGUGUAGCAGUGAAAUGCGUAGAUAUGCGGAGGAACACCGAUGGCGAAGGCAAUCCCCUGGGCCUGCACUGACGCUCAUGCACGAAAGCGUGGGGAGCAAACA
Molecule: ribosomal RNA, 426 nt
Filed under: uncultured bacterium
Lineage: Bacteria
Description: bacterial SSU rRNA
Rfam family: Bacterial small subunit ribosomal RNA
Source: RNAcentral